AUCAUGCAGUCGACGAGCUCUCCCAAAUUGAUUUUAUGCUUGCAUAAAUGAUUUUUGGAUCCCUUAGCGAGUGGCGAACUGGUGAGUAACACGUGGGCUAACCUGCCCCGAAGCGGGGGAUAACAUUUGGAAACAAAUGCUAAUACCGCAUAAUUAGUCAGAACCGCAUGGUUCCGACUUGAAAGAUGGCUCUGCUAUCACUUCGGGAUGGACCCGCGCCGUAUUAGUUAGUUGGUGAGAUAAAAGCCCACCAAGACGAUGAUACGUAGCCGACCUGAGAGGGUAAUCGGCCACAUUGGGACUGAGACACGGCCCAGACUCCUACGGGAGGCAGCAGUAGGGAAUCUUCCACAAUGGACGAAAGUCUGAUGGAGCAACGCCGCGUGAGUGAUGAAGGGUUUCGGCUCGUAAAACUCUGUUGUUAAAGAAGAACAAGCAUGAGAGUAACUGUUCAUGCUUUGACGGUAUUUAACCAGAAAGCCACGGCUAACUACGUGCCAGCAGCCGCGGUAAUACGUAGGUGGCAAGCGUUGUCCGGAUUUAUUGGGCGUAAAGCGAGCGCAGGCGGUUUUGUAAGUCUGCUGUGAAAGCCCUCAGCUCAACUGAGGAAGUGCAGUGGAAACUACAAAACUUGAGUACAGAAGAGGAAAGUGGAACUCCAUGUGUAGCGGUGAAAUGCGUAGAUAUAUGGAAGAACACCAGUGGCGAAGGCGGCUUUCUGGUCUGUUACUGACGCUGAGGCUCGAAAGCAUGGGUAGCGAACAGGAUUAGAUACCCUGGUAGUCACAUGCCGUAAACGAUGAAKACUAGGUGUUGGAGGGUUUCCGCCCUUCAGUGCCGCAGCUAACGCAUUAAGUAUUCCSCCUGGGGAGUACGACCGCAAGGUUGAAACUCAAAGGAAUUGACGGGGGCCCGCACAAGUGGUGGAGCAUGUGGUUUAAUUCGAUGCUACGCGAAGAACCUUACCAGCUCUUGACAUCUUCUGCCAACCUAAGAGAUUAGGCGUUCCCUUCGGGGACAGAAUGACAGGUGGUGCAUGGUUGUCGUCAGCUCGUGUCGUGAGAUGUUGGGUUAAGUCCCGCAACGAGCGCAACCCUUAUUAUUAGUUGCCAGCAUUUAGUUGGGCACUCUAGUGAGACUGCCGGUGAUAAACCGGAGGAAGGUGGGGAUGACGUCAAAUCAUCAUGCCCCUUAUGAGCUGGGCUACACACGUGCUACAAUGGAUGGUACAACGAGUCGCGAAACCGCGAGGUCAAGCUAAUCUCUUAAAGCCAUUCUCAGUUCGGAUUGCAGGCUGCAACUCGCCUGCAUGAAGUUGGAAUCACUAGUAAUCGUGGAUCAGCAUGCCACGGUGAAUACGUUCCCGGGCCUUGUACACACCGCCCGUCACACCAUGAGAGUUUGUAACACCC
This 1412-nucleotide ribosomal RNA is filed under the name Lactobacillus sp. H20_6_1BCO2. RNAcentral's name for it is "bacterial SSU rRNA". It matches the Rfam family "Bacterial small subunit ribosomal RNA", at positions 52 to 1422 of the family's 1533-position model. Lineage: Bacteria; Bacillati; Bacillota; Bacilli; Lactobacillales; Lactobacillaceae. The record is from RNAcentral.